GACGAACGCUGGCGGCGUGCUUAACACAUGCAAGUCACGGGGGCCCGCGAGGGCAACCGGCGAACGGGUGCGUAACACGUGAGCGACCUGCCUUUCCGCGGGGGAUAGCCGGCCCAACGGCCGGGUAAUACCGCAUACGCUGCUUUGGGGGCAUCCCUGAAGCAGGAAACCUCCGGGGCGGAGAGAGGGGCUCGCGACCUAUCAGCUAGUUGGCGAGGUAACGGCUCACCAAGGCGGCGACGGGUAGCUGGUCUGAGAGGAUGGCCAGCCACAUUGGGACUGAGAUACGGCCCAGACUCCUACGGGAGGCAGCAGUGGGGAAUAUUGCGCAAUGGCCUAACGGCUGACGCAGCGACGCCGCGUGUGGGAGGACGCCCCUCGGGGUGUAAACCACUGUUGCCCGGGACGAACAACCAGUUUGACUGGUCUGACGGUACCGGGUGAGGAAGCACCGGCUAACUCCGUGCCAGCCGCCGCAGUAAC
RNAcentral lists this ribosomal RNA (483 nucleotides) under uncultured bacterium. RNAcentral's name for it is "bacterial SSU rRNA". It matches the Rfam family "Bacterial small subunit ribosomal RNA", at positions 28 to 524 of the family's 1533-position model. The record is from RNAcentral.